UUGAUUGAAUGGGUGUGUGUUAGAAAUGAUGUUGGGGACAUGAAGUUUUGGGGGCAAAAAGGCCCAAUUCGCCAUUCAUCGCCUAACUCGGGUCUCAUUUGCCUUUUGCCAUGCCCAAAACUCAAUGCAUCCAAGCCACUUCACCGUCAGCAUCAGCGCGUAAUCACCAAGAAAAUAUUCGAAACUCCAUUUCAAACUCUCACUUCCUCAUACACGGAUCUCCCCCAUUCAAAUCUCAAUCGAACAGCAGAAUCAAAAAACGGGUGCUAUAUAUUCAUCACUGAAUUGAAUCUCGCUAAAGUCGAAAUCAUAUUGCGCGCGGGUGAAGGAAGAAAAACUUACCCGACGAUUCCGACGCGGUGGCUCAGAGUCGAUGAAUUCUUUGGUCUUCUUAUUUUCUCUUAUGCGCUCAUUGUUCUUCAGUUGUGUGAUCGUUGGUUCGUCGAUGUCGUCCGUGUUAUAGCUAUGCGUUGUGGAUCAUUGUUGUUGUUCUCAGGUGAAGCGUGAAGAUGUUGCGUUCGUCGAAGGAUUAGAGAUGAUCGAGGGUGAUGCGUGAAAUUCCGUGAGUUUUCUCUUCUUCCUUGCUAGAAAUUCUCUCUUCUCCUCUCUCUUCUUCUGUUUCAAUCUUUCUGGCUUCUUGAGUUUUUUCUGUGAAGUUUCUUUGUGAGAAUUUCUUGAGUUGCUUCAGUGUGAGAAUGGUUAUUGAGAUCGUUGUGAGAGUUCCGUUUUGGUUCUGUUAAGAAGUUCUUGUUAUUGGAAAAAUGGAAGUUGGUUAGAGGUGAAGAAUGGUGGGGUUAGUUCUGGAAAUUAUAGUUCUGGAAAUUAUGGAUGGUUGUGUGUUAUGAAGGUGUCAAUCUGUUAUGAGGAGCUUCGGUUCCUUUUGUGAAGUUAGGUUGGGGAGGUUAUGGUUAUAUGGUGAUGGAGGGUGAAGUUCAUUGCCAGUUGAGUCUCUGGAAGGGAUUUCGGUGGUGUUGAAGAAGGAGGUUUUAAAAGCAGGUUGAAGGGUGGUUAGAAAUCUGUUAGGGGUUUGGGGUGAUUGAAGCAGUUUGGAAGGCUAAGUCAAGGAGAGGGUUCGGUUCUGUUGUGAAGUUCUUCGAGGUUCUGUUCAGCUGGAAUCUGUUUUAUUGGCAUUCUGUUAUGGUUUCUUUUUUUGAGUGAAGGUUCAGUUAGCAGUUGUCGGUACCCUUAUGAAGGUUGUUGAAAUUCAGUUAUAAUUCUGUUACAGGUUUUAUUAAUUCUGUUAGGAAGUUGAGAAUUUGGGUGGUUUUUGAAAAUCUGAAAAUGGUUUGUUGGGUUUUUUGAGGGAGUUCCUUGAAUGAAUAGCAGGUUCCGAUGAAGGCUUGUGUUGAGGGUGUUUUGAGUUGGUUUCUGCCCGGUUCUAUUAUGCAGGGCGAAGUUGUUAUCAGUUGGAAAAAAAGAUACUGAUAGGUGGCGUAUCAUGGAAUUACUUGGAGUUAGCUAUGGAUUGGUGAUUGGACAUGCUAUGGACUUGGUGAUGUAGGAAGGUUGCUUGGACAUGUUAAGCAUAUGGAAUGGAUUAGGAUAUAUUAAAUGCAUUGAAAUGGCAAUGUGUAGUGAUUAUUGUAGUCUUGUAACUUUGAUUUAUUUGAAUAUUGUUGUAAGAUGGUUGUAAAUGAAAAUGAACCUUGUGAAUUUUAAAUGGGUGUAUGCAAUAUUUAUGGCUAUGAUGGUAAUUGGAUGUAAUAGGAAAGGAACAUAUAUGUAUAUGGGAUUGAAUUUGUAUUGGAAUGUAAUAUGGAAUUUGGAUCGUAGAAAUCAAAUGUGAUUUGGAAAUUGAAAUUAUAAUGGAAUUGAUGUAUUGGAUUAUGAUUA
This is a long non-coding RNA of Lathyrus oleraceus (garden pea), 1833 nucleotides long. RefSeq lists it as uncharacterized. NCBI's taxonomy places the organism in Eukaryota, Viridiplantae, Streptophyta, Magnoliopsida, Fabales, Fabaceae. The record is from RefSeq and is a predicted model, not a curated record. The transcript has 3 exons.